UGGGGUACAGCUCUGUGGCAGAGUGUGUGCUUUGCAUGCAUGUGGUCCUCGGUUCAAUCCCCAGUACCUCUG
Molecule: transfer RNA, 72 nt
Filed under: Camelus ferus (Wild Bactrian camel)
Lineage: Eukaryota; Metazoa; Chordata; Mammalia; Artiodactyla; Camelidae
Rfam family: tRNA
About the family: Transfer RNA (tRNA) molecules are approximately 80 nucleotides in length.
Source: Rfam by way of RNAcentral